GAUGAACGCUGGCGGCGUACCUAAUACAUGCAAGUCGAGCGAACAGACGAGGAGCUUGCUCCUCUGACGUUAGCGGCGGACGGGUGAGUAACACGUGGAUAACCUACCUAUAAGACUGGGAUAACUUCGGGAAACCAGAGCUAAUACCGGAUAAUAUAUUGAACCGCAUGGUUCAAUAGUGAAAGACGGUUUUGCUGUCACUUAUAGAUGGAUCCGCGCCGCAUUAGCUAGUUGGUAAGGUAACGGCUUACCAAGGCGACGAUGCGUAGCCGACCUGAGAGGGUGAUCGGCCACACUGGAGCUGAGACACGGUCCAGACUCCUACGGGAGGCAGCAGUAGGGAAUCUUCCGCAAUGGGCGAAAGCCUGACGGAGCAACGCCGCGUGAGUGAUGAAGGUCUUCGGAUCGUAAAACUCUGUUAUUAGGGAAGAACAAAUGUGUAAGUAACUAUGCACGUCUUGACGGUACCUAAUCAGAAAGCCACGGCUAACUACGUG
Molecule: ribosomal RNA, 497 nt
Filed under: uncultured bacterium
Lineage: Bacteria
Description: partial 16S ribosomal RNA
Rfam family: Bacterial small subunit ribosomal RNA
Source: RNAcentral